AGAGCUAAUAGAAAAAGUUAUAUUGGAAGAAAGUUCAUACGAUGAGUAAUCAGAUGAGACAGUAUUUGAAAGAGGUUAAAGAAUAGAAGAGUUGAACGUCGAGGAGAAAUGGAUUGAAAACAAUUUUACAGAUUCGGCUGGGGUAUUCGAGAUAAUGUUAUCGAGAUGGACCGAAAAAGGAACUGGAGAUUUCUGUUUUAAAUUAUUAACAA
Cinara cedri is the source of this 212-nucleotide non-coding RNA. Lineage: Eukaryota; Metazoa; Arthropoda; Insecta; Hemiptera; Aphididae. The record is from the annotation of a GenBank genome assembly.